Molecule: unclassified non-coding RNA, 261 nt
Filed under: Hevea brasiliensis (rubber tree)
Lineage: Eukaryota; Viridiplantae; Streptophyta; Magnoliopsida; Malpighiales; Euphorbiaceae
Source: RNAcentral
UUUUUUUUUUUUUUUUAUAAGCAAAAAUUUUAUUGAUGAGACCAUGAGAAACUAAGCCUGGAAAUUGUAACCUUUUCUACUUAGAAUAUUAUAUAUAUGUUCAACCAAAGUUAGCAUUAAAGCAAGGGUUUUAUUAUUUCCUCCCCUUCAAUUUUUACAGGAAUUGUAAUUAAAGGGCUUUUUCUAUAAACGUUUCCCUCCUUGCAGGUGUUUUAUCCUGUUAUUUUCUUGUCCCUAUAAUAGUUUAUGGAAUGAAGGCUU